Molecule: ribosomal RNA, 1242 nt
Filed under: metagenome
Description: bacterial LSU rRNA
Rfam family: Bacterial large subunit ribosomal RNA
Source: RNAcentral
UGAAUACGAGACGCUAAGGCGUCGAAGUAGUGUAUGUCAUACUUCCAAGAAAAGCUUGCACUGUCAUAGAUAAAAAACGCCUGUACCAUAACCGACACAGGUGGGUAGGUAGAGUAUACUAAGGGGCGCGAGAUAACUCUCUCUAAGGAACUCGGCAAAAUAACUCCGUAACUUCGGGAGAAGGAGUGCCUUAUUCUUAAGGUUGCAAUAACAAGAUCCAAGCAACUGUUUAUCAAAAACACAGGUCUCCGCUAAGUCGUAAGACGAUGUAUGGGGGCUGACGCCUGCCCAGUGCCAGAAGGUUAAAGAAGCUGGUUAGCAUUUGCGAAGCUAGUAACUGAAGCCCUGGUGAACGGCGGCCGUAACUAUAACGGUCCUAAGGUAGCGAAAUUCCUUGUCGGGUAAGUUCCGACCCGCACGAAAGGCGUAAUGAUUUGGAUACUGUCUCGGAGAGGGGCUCGGUGAAAUAGACUUGUCUGUGAAGAUGCGGACUACCUGCACCAGGACAGAAAGACCCUAUGAAGCUUUACUGUAACUUGAAAUUGAAAUUGGACUUUAUUCGCGCAGUAUAGGUGGGAGGCGUUUAUUAUAAUCUUGCGGGAUUAUUGGAGCCAUUAGUGAGAUACCACUCUUGUAAUGUUAGAUUUCUAACUUUGAAUCAUUAUCUGGUCAAAGAACAGUUUCAGGCGGGCAGUUUGACUGGGGCGGUCGCCUCCUAAACGGUAACGGAGGCGUACAAAGGUUUCCUCUGAACGGUUAGAAAUCGUAUCCAGAGUGUAAAGGCAUAAGGAAGCUUGACUGUGAGACCUACAAGUCGAGCAGGGACGAAAGUCGGUCUUAGUGAUCUGACGGUACUGAGUGGAAAGGCCGUCACUCAACGGAUAAAAGUUACUCUAGGAUAACAGGCUGAUCUCCCCCAAGAGUUCACAUCGACGGGGAGGUUUGGCACCUCGAUGUCGGCUCAUCGCAUCCUGGGGCGGUAGUACGUCCCAAGGGUUGGGCUGUUCGCCCAUGAAAGCGGUACGCGAGCUGGGUUCAGAACGUCGUGAGACAGUUCGGUCCAUAUCCGGUGUAGGCGUUAGAAUAUUGAGAGGAGCCUUCUUUAGUACGAGAGGACCGAGAAGGACAUACCUCUGGUGUACCAGUUAUCGUGCCAACGGUAAACGCUGGGUAGCUAUGUAUAGUGGAUAACCGCUGAAAGCAUCUAAGUGGGAAGCCCACCUCAAGAUAAGUAUUCUCAUC